CAAGUACUCCCUCCGUCCGGAAUUACUUGUCAUCAAAAUGGAUGUGUCUAGAACUAAAAUACAUCUAGAUACAUCCAUUUCAAUGACAAGUAUUUUCGGACGGAGGGAGUAUAAG
Molecule: non-coding RNA, 115 nt
Organism: Triticum urartu
Lineage: Eukaryota; Viridiplantae; Streptophyta; Magnoliopsida; Poales; Poaceae
Source: Rfam